Non-coding RNA from Canis lupus familiaris (dog), 302 nucleotides. Lineage: Eukaryota; Metazoa; Chordata; Mammalia; Carnivora; Canidae. The record is from Rfam.
GCCUGGCGUAGUUGUGCGUGUCUGUAGUCUCAGUUACUUGCGAGAAGCUGAUGCAGGAGGAUCGCUUGAGCCCAAGAGUUCUGGGCUAUAGUGUACUAUGCGGAUUGGGUAUCCACACUAAGUUUGACAUCAAUAUGGUGACAUCCUAAGAGCAGGGGACCACCAGGUUGCCUAAAGAGGGUUGAACCAGCUCAGGUCAGAAACUAGUAGGUCAAAACUCCCAUCCUUAUCAGUAGUUGGGAUGGUGUCUGUGAAUAACCACUGCUCUUCAGCCUCUGCAACAUAUCAAGACCUCAUUUCAA